Molecule: ribosomal RNA, 381 nt
Filed under: uncultured archaeon
Lineage: Archaea
Description: bacterial SSU rRNA
Rfam family: Archaeal small subunit ribosomal RNA
Source: RNAcentral
ACACCGGCGGCCCGAGUGGUAACCGCUUUUAUUGGGCCUAAAGCGUUCGUAGCCGGCCUGAUAAGUCUCUGGUGAAAUCCCGCAGCUUAACUGUGGGAAUUGCUGGAGAUACUAUCAGGCUUGAGGUCGGGAGAGGUUAGAGGUACUCCCAGGGUAGGGGUGAAAUCCUAUAAUCCUGGGAGGACCACCUGUGGCGAAGGCGUCUAACUGGAACGAACCUGACGGUGAGUAACGAAAGCCAGGGGCGCGAACCGGAUUAGAUACCCGGGUAGUCCUGGCCGUAAACGAUGUGGACUUGGUGUUGGGAUGGCCUCGAGCUGCCCCAGUGCCGAAGGGAAGCUGUUAAGUCCACCGCCUGGUAAGUACGGUCGCAAGACUGAA